This 468-nucleotide ribosomal RNA is filed under the name uncultured bacterium. Its description in RNAcentral is "partial 16S ribosomal RNA". It matches the Rfam family "Bacterial small subunit ribosomal RNA", at positions 28 to 507 of the family's 1533-position model. The record is from RNAcentral.
GACGAACGCUGGCGGCGUGCUUAACACAUGCAAGUCGAACGGAAAGGCCCAGCUCUUGUGGGGUGCUCGAGUGGCGAACGGGUGAGUAACACGUGAGUAUCAUCCCCUUGUAUUUGGGAUAAAUCCAGGAAACUGGGGCUAUAACAGCAUAGGAGCUCUUGCACCACGUGGGGGGUUGGAAAGAUUCGGCGGUGGGGGAUGGACUCGCGGCUUAUCAGCUUGUUGGUGGGGUAGGGGCUUACCAAGGCUUCGACGGGUAGCCGGCCUGAGAGGGUGACCGGCCACAUUGGGACUGAGAUACGGCCCAGACUCCUACGGGAGGCAGCAGUGGGGAAUAUUGCACAAUGGGCGGAAGCCUGAUGCAGCAACGCCGCGUGCGGGAUGACGUCCUUCGGGGUGUAAACCGCUUUCGCCUGUGACGAAGCGUGAGUGACGGUAAUGGGUAAAGAAGCACCGGCUAACUACGUG